GCACUGAUGAAAUCAAUCGGUUAUUGGUAGCAGGCUUCAAACCUGUUGGUCGUUAACUCGGCAGCGGUUCAACUCCGCCUUCGGUGC
Molecule: transfer RNA, 87 nt
Organism: Smittium culicis
Lineage: Eukaryota; Fungi; Kickxellomycota; Harpellomycetes; Harpellales; Legeriomycetaceae
Rfam family: Selenocysteine transfer RNA
Source: Rfam